Molecule: ribosomal RNA, 471 nt
Filed under: uncultured bacterium
Lineage: Bacteria
Description: partial 16S ribosomal RNA
Rfam family: Bacterial small subunit ribosomal RNA
Source: RNAcentral
GACGAACGCUGGCGGCGUGCUUAACACAUGCAAGUCGAGCGGAAAGGCCCUUCGGGGUACUCGAGCGGCGAACGGGUGAGUAACACGUGAGUAAUCUGCCCUUGGCUUUGGGAUAACUACCGGAAACGGUGGCUAAUACCGGAUACGACAACCGUCUGCAUGGGCUGGUUGUGGAAAGUUUUUUCGGCCAGGGAUGUGCUCGCGGCCUAUCAGCUUGUUGGUGGGUAAUGGCCUACCAAGGCUUCGACGGGUAGCCGGCCUGAGAGGGUGACCGGCCACACUGGGACUGAGACACGGCCCAGACUCCUACGGGAGGCAGCAGUGGGGAAUAUUGGACAAUGGGCGGAAGCCUGAUCCAGCAACGCCGCGUGAGGGAUGACGGCCUUCGGGUUGUAAACCUCUUUCAGUACCGACGAAGCGCCGAUGAUGGUGGUGACGGUAGGUACAGAAGAAGCACCGGCCAACUACGUG